UAGAUACAAUUCCCCCUUUGGUGUCUAUGAUGGUUAAUAUUCACGGUCAACUGAACACCCAAGAAGAAGGCUUUUGGGCAUACCUGUGAGGAUCGUCUAGCUGAAGGUUAACCUCUGAGGAUGUCUGUGAGGGAUCUAAUUGAGCUCUCAAGCUUCUCUUGCUGUGACUUCCCUGCUCUGAUGGACUGGAACCCGGAACUGUGAGCCAGAAUAAACCCUUUCUCCCAUGAGUUGCUUUUGUCAUGGCAACGUUUAUUAUAUCAUAGCAACAGAAAAGAAAAUACAGACCGGGAAGGACUAUCACCAAGCUGUAAUGCACUGCCAGACUGUUUACCAGGGUAGUUGCCAUUUUCCAGUCCCCCAGCAAUGUGUGAGAGAACCAGCCACUCCUCGGUGUCCUCCACAUUUGUGCUGCGCCUUGAGCUGGAUGUGUGGUCUCCUUGGGCUGUUAGCUUGCCUUUCCCUGAUGGCUGGUGAUAUCAAAUAUCUUGUGUGCUUACGGACUCCAGGUAAGCUUUCUUGAGUAAAGUG
Long non-coding RNA from Peromyscus californicus insignis, 531 nucleotides. RefSeq lists it as uncharacterized. Lineage: Eukaryota; Metazoa; Chordata; Mammalia; Rodentia; Cricetidae. The record is from RefSeq and is a predicted model, not a curated record. The transcript has 3 exons.